This 239-nucleotide unclassified non-coding RNA is filed under the name Chytridiomycota sp. RNAcentral's name for it is "partial contains small subunit ribosomal RNA, internal transcribed spacer 1, and 5.8S ribosomal RNA". The stretch from base 1 to 47 matches the Rfam family "Eukaryotic small subunit ribosomal RNA", at positions 1785 to 1831 of the family's 1831-position model. The record is from RNAcentral. Lineage: Eukaryota; Fungi; Chytridiomycota.
AAAGUCGUAACAAGGUAACCGUAGGUGAACCUGCGGUUGGAUCAUUACCAAUCCCAGUUGCAGUAUGCAACUUAAACCCCUGUGCAUCAAAGACGUUUCUGGCAGAACCAGCUGACUGCAACUUGCUUGCGGGCAAGCCAGGCUGCCAAUCACUUGCACACUCUUUGUUAUGUAUGUAUUGUCUGAUGAUUAAUUGUAAAAUUAAAAAACAACUUUUGACAACGGAUCUCUUGGCUCUC